Molecule: ribosomal RNA, 33 nt
Filed under: Lactarius sp. 2 KW-2015
Lineage: Eukaryota; Fungi; Basidiomycota; Agaricomycetes; Russulales; Russulaceae
Also listed under: 1 other name
Description: partial 28S ribosomal RNA
Source: RNAcentral
UUGACCUCAAAUCGGGUGAGACUACCCGCUGAA